CGUACCAGGUGCUGCAUGGCUGUCGUCAGCUCGUGUCGUGAGAUGUUGGGUUAAGUCCCGCAACGAGCGCAACCCUUGUCAUUAGUUGCUACAUUCAGUUGGGCACUCUAAUGAGACUGCCGGUGACAAACCGGAGGAAGGUGGGGAUGACGUCAAGUCCUCAUGGCCCUUAUAGGUGGGGCUACACACGUCAUACAAUGGCUGGUACAGAGGGUUGCCAACCCGCGAGGGGGAGCCAAUCCCAUAAAACCAGUCGUAGUCCGGAUCGCAGUCUGCAACUCGACUGCGUGAAGUCGGAAUCGCUAGUAAUCGCGGAUCAGAAUGUCGCGGUGAAUACGUUCCCGGGUCUUGUACACACCGCCCGUCACACCAUGGGAGCGGGUUCUGCCAGAAGUAGUUAGCCUAACCGCAAGGAGGGCGAUUACCACGGCAGGGUUCGUGACUGGGGUGAAGUCGUAACAAGGUACCAAUCACUAGUAUNUUCGCGGCAAA
Molecule: ribosomal RNA, 492 nt
Filed under: uncultured bacterium
Lineage: Bacteria
Description: bacterial SSU rRNA
Rfam family: Bacterial small subunit ribosomal RNA
Source: RNAcentral